This 197-nucleotide ribosomal RNA is filed under the name uncultured bacterium. Its description in RNAcentral is "partial 16S ribosomal RNA". It matches the Rfam family "Bacterial small subunit ribosomal RNA", at positions 335 to 524 of the family's 1533-position model. The record is from RNAcentral.
ACUCCUACGGGAGGCAGCAGUGGGGAAUAUUGCACAAUGGGCGCAAGCCUGAUGCAGCCAUGCCGCGUGUAUGAAGAAGGCCUUCGGGUUGUAAAGUACUUUCAGCGGGGAGGAAGGGAGUAGAGUUAAUACCUUUGCUCAUUGACGUUACCCGCAGAAGAAGCACCGGCUAACUCCGUGCCAGCAGCCGCGGUAAU